RNAcentral lists this non-coding RNA (26 nucleotides) under Rattus norvegicus (Norway rat). Lineage: Eukaryota; Metazoa; Chordata; Mammalia; Rodentia; Muridae. The record is from RNAcentral.
UGGGGACCCUUGGCAGCCUUGCAGCA